RNAcentral lists this ribosomal RNA (50 nucleotides) under Thanatephorus cucumeris. RNAcentral's name for it is "partial 28S ribosomal RNA". Lineage: Eukaryota; Fungi; Basidiomycota; Agaricomycetes; Cantharellales; Ceratobasidiaceae. The record is from RNAcentral.
AAAUCAGGUAGGACUACCCGCUGAACUUAAGCAUAUCAAUGGAAAAAGGA